Molecule: ribosomal RNA, 292 nt
Filed under: uncultured Acidobacteriota bacterium
Lineage: Bacteria; Pseudomonadati; Acidobacteriota
Description: uncultured Acidobacteria bacterium partial 16S ribosomal RNA
Source: RNAcentral
GGACUACUGGGGUUUCUAAUCCCGUUUGCUCCCCUGGCUUUCGCUCAUCAGCGUCAAUACCGGUCCAGGAUGCCGCCUUCGCCACCGGUGUUCCUCCAGAUAUCUACGCAUUUCACCGCUACACCUGGAAUUCCGCAUCCCUCUCCCGGAUUCAAGCCAACCAGUAUCCGACGCAGUUCCCAGGUUAAGCCUGGGGAUUUCACGUCGGACUUAGUUGGCCGCCUACGAGCCCUUUACGCCCAGUAAUUCCGAACAACGCUCGCACCCUCUGUAUUACCGCGGCGGCUGGCAC